RNAcentral lists this ribosomal RNA (406 nucleotides) under uncultured bacterium. Its description in RNAcentral is "partial 16S ribosomal RNA". It matches the Rfam family "Bacterial small subunit ribosomal RNA", at positions 30 to 526 of the family's 1533-position model. The record is from RNAcentral.
AUUGAACGCUGGCGGCAGGCCUAACACAUGCAAGUCGAACGAGUGGCGGACGGGUGAGUAAUGUCUGGGAAACUGGCUGAUGGAGGGGGAUAACUACUGGAAAAGGUAGCUCAUACCGCAUACCAUCGGAUGUGCCCAGAUGGGAUGAGCUAGUGGGUGGGGUAACGGCUCACCUAGGCGACGAUACCUAGCUGGUCUGAGAGGAUGACCAGCCACACUGGAACGGAGACCCGGUCCAGCCUCCUACGGGAGGCAGCAGUGGGGAAUAUUGCACAAUGGGCGAAAGCCUGAUGCAGCCAUGCCGCGUGUAUGAAGAAGGCCUUCGGGUUGUAAAGUACUUUCAGCGGGGAGGCGUUACCCGCAGAAGAAGCACCGGCUAACUCCGUGCCAGCAGCCGCGGUAAUAC